Molecule: unclassified non-coding RNA, 347 nt
Filed under: soil metagenome
Description: partial contains 5.8S ribosomal RNA, internal transcribed spacer 2, and large subunit ribosomal RNA
Rfam family: 5.8S ribosomal RNA (bases 1-120)
Source: RNAcentral
GAUGAAGAACGUAGCGAAAUGCGAUAAGUAAUGUGAAUUGCAGAAUUCAGUGAAUCAUCGAGUCUUUGAACGCACAUUGCGCCCCCUGGUAUUCCGGGGGGCAUGCCUGUCCGAGCGUCAUUGCUGCCCUCAAGCACAGCUUGUGUGUUGGGCCGUCGUCCCCCUCCUAGGGGACGGGCCCGAAAGGCAGCGGCGGCACCGCGUCCGGUCCUCGAGCGUAUGGGGCUUCGUCACCCGCUCCGUAGGCCCGGCCGGCGCUUGCCGACGACCAUCAAUCUCUUUCUCCAGGUUGACCUCGGAUCAGGUAGGGAUACCCGCUGAACUUAAGCAUAUCAAUAAGCGGAGGA